Molecule: small nucleolar RNA, 94 nt
Filed under: Rhinocladiella mackenziei CBS 650.93
Lineage: Eukaryota; Fungi; Ascomycota; Eurotiomycetes; Chaetothyriales; Herpotrichiellaceae
Description: A. fumigatus snoRNA Afu_190
Rfam family: A. fumigatus snoRNA Afu_190
Source: Rfam by way of RNAcentral
CUAGGGAUGAGAAUUUAGCUGGCACCAGACUGAGAAAACGUGUACUCUUCUGCAUGCGGAUCGGCUUUACAUGGCAAUUAGCCUACACUCUGAA